Molecule: microRNA precursor, 69 nt
Filed under: Jaculus jaculus (lesser Egyptian jerboa)
Lineage: Eukaryota; Metazoa; Chordata; Mammalia; Rodentia; Dipodidae
Description: miRNA (ENSJJAG00000006151.1)
Source: RNAcentral
CAAAUGAGUGAAGGCUAAUUAGCAGAAUAACUGUACAUAGUAAUUCUGCCAGUCUCCUUCAGACAAGAA